GNAGCAUACGGCAGCUAUAAUGCAGUCGGACGGGAUCCGGUGGUAGCUUGCUACCAUUGGUGAGAGUGGCGCACGGGUGCGUAACGCGUGAGCAACCUACCUCUAUCAGGGGGAUAGCCUCUCGAAAGAGAGAUUAAUACCGCAUAAGAUCAACAGUUCGCAUGUUCGGUUGAUUAAAUAUUUAUAGGAUAGAGAUGGGCUCGCGUGACAUUAGCUAGUUGGUAGGGUAACGGCUUACCAAGGCGACGAUGUCUAGGGGCUCUGAGAGGAGAAUCCCCCACACUGGUACUGAGACACGGACCAGACUCCUACGGGAGGCAGCAGUAAGGAAUAUUGGUCAAUGGGCGGAAGCCUGAACCAGCCAUGCCGCGUGCAGGAUGACUGCCCUAUGGGUUGUAAACUGCUUUUGUCCAGGAAUAAACCUAUCUACGUGUACAUAGCUGAAUGUACUGGAAGAAUAAGGAUCGGCUAACUCCGUGCCAGCAGCCGCGGUAAUACGGAGGAUCCGAGCGUUAUCCGGAUUUAUUGGGUUUAAAGGGUGCGUAGGCGGCCCAUUAAGUCAGGGGUGAAAUACGGUGGCUCAACCAUCGCAGUGCCUUUGAUACUGAUGGGCUUGAAUCCAUUUGAAGUGGGCGGAAUAAGACAAGUAGCGGUGAAAUGCAUAGAUAUGUCUUAGAACUCCGAUUGCGAAGGCAGCUCACUAAGCUGGUAUUGACGCUGAUGCACGAAAGCGUGGGGAUCGAACAGGAUUAGAUACCCUGGUAGUCCACGCCCUAAACGAUGAUAACUCGAUGUUGGCGAUAGACAGCCAGCGUCCCAGCGAAAGCGUUAAGUUAUCCACCUGGGGAGUACGCCCGCAAGGGUGAAACUCAAAGGAAUUGACGGGGGCCCGCACAAGCGGAGGAGCAUGUGGUUUAAUUCGAUGAUACGCGAGGAACCUUACCCGGGCUUGAAAGUUAGUGAAGGAUGCAGAGACGCAUCCGUGCUUCGGGACACGAAACUAGUGCUGCAUGGCUGUCGUCAGCUCGUGCCGUGAGGUGUUGGGUUAAGUCCCGCAACGAGCGCAACCCUAUGUUAGUUGCCAGCAUGUAAUGGUGGGGGACUCUAAACAGACUGCCUGUGCAAACAGCGAGAGGUGGGGACGACGUCAGUCAUCAUGCCUUACGUUCNGNGCUAGCACGUGCUACAUGNUUGNACAGGCGGCCAGCUACAUUAGCAAAUUAUGGGUGGC
RNAcentral lists this ribosomal RNA (1231 nucleotides) under Gammaproteobacteria bacterium. RNAcentral describes it as "bacterial SSU rRNA". It matches the Rfam family "Bacterial small subunit ribosomal RNA", at positions 32 to 1273 of the family's 1533-position model. The record is from RNAcentral. Lineage: Bacteria; Pseudomonadati; Pseudomonadota; Gammaproteobacteria.